RNAcentral lists this non-coding RNA (970 nucleotides) under Atrichornis rufescens. RNAcentral describes it as "12S ribosomal RNA". It matches the Rfam family "Bacterial small subunit ribosomal RNA". The record is from RNAcentral. Lineage: Eukaryota; Metazoa; Chordata; Aves; Passeriformes; Menuridae.
AAAGACUUAGUCCUAACCUUACUGUUAGUUUUUGCUAGGAAUAUACAUGCAAGUAUCCGCAUCCCAGUGUAAAUGCCCCAGGCAACCCAAAGCCUGCAGGAGCGGGCAUCAGGCACACUCCACAAGUAGCCCAAGACGCCUUGCGUAGCCACACCCCCACGGGUUUACAGCAGUAAUUAAUAUUAAGCAAUGAGUGCAAACUUGACUUAGCCAUAGCAAAUCUUAGGGUCGGUAAAUCUUGUGCCAGCCACCGCGGUUAGACAAGGGACCCAAAUUAACAGUCAAACGGCGUAAAGAGUGGUCACAUGUUAUCAAAACAACUAAGACUGAAACGCAGCUGAGCUGUAAUAAGCCCAAGAUGCCCAUAAAACCAACUCCAAAGAAGGUCUUAGAGUCACGAUCAAUUGAAAUCCACGAAAGCCAGGGCCCAAACUGGGAUUAGAUACCCCACUAUGCCUGGCCCUAAAUAUUGAUGCUCUACUCUACCUGAGCAUCCGCCUGAGAACUACGAGCACAAACGCUUAAAACUCUAAGGACUUGGCGGUGUCCCAAACCCACCUAGAGGAGUCUGUUCUGUAAUCGAUGAUCCACGAUAUACCCGACCAUCCCUUGCAAAAUCAGCCUAUAUACCGCCGUCGUCAGCUCACCCUCCCUGACGGCCCAACAGUGAGCGCAAUAGUCCUAACCCACUAAAAAGACAGGUCAAGGUGUAGCCUAUGGGAUGGAAGCAAUGGACUACAUUUUCUAACAUAGAACACAACGGAUGAGAACUUGAAAUAGUCCUCGGAAGGCGGAUUUAGCAGUAAAGUGGGACAAUCAAGCCCUCUUUAAACCGGCUCUGGGGCACGUACAUACCGCCCGUCACCCUCCUCAAAAGCACCAAACAACCCCAUAAACUAAUAAGCCAAGCAGCCAAAGAGGAGGUAAGUCGUAACAAGGUAAGUGUACCGGAAGGUGUACUUAGAAUAAC